GUUUGACAACAGGACGCUUGAUGACAGCCACAACAACAUCACGCUAAACUCCUGCAGAUUAUUUGCUUGUUAAAGCUCUAAAUGUCACUAAACCGCACAUAUUUCAGCUCAGCUGCAAACGAAACCAACACACUGUGGGAUAAAACGCUGGAAUCGAGUGUCAUGCGCCUCACCUAGUAAGUGCUGUGCUGUGGAUUGUAAAGCAGAGCUCUGGGACGUGUGGACAGACAGAGACUGUAAUGAUGGACAUCUGCUCGUGGACAGUCUGUCUAAAAGCAUAACCGCUGCUGGUCGCGGCGCCGGACGCUCCAGAGGGAGACCGUACUGGUAUCCCCCUUCUUCAGGCGCACCUUCACACUCACUCAUAUCGCAGAGACCCGGCUGGGAUCAAACCAGCAACCUCUGAACCCGUGAGGCAGCGCUCUUACCAGUGAGCCACAGGUCUCUUGUCGAGCUGUGUGAAGGAACUUCUGUUUGACUCUUUACCUGUAUGUGACCCGUGUUUCUCCAAUAAAGCAGUUAAAGUGUGUGGGAUCUGAACCCGCGUCUCCAGCACAGCCGUGUCUUCAGACACGUGUGUUUAUCCACUGAACCAGCACAGACUUCACAUUCAUUUCUGGAGUUUGAGUGGUUUUGUUGGAUGAGAUCAAUGUAAAGUAAGCAAUAGUGGGAUCUGAACUCAGAUCUUCAUGAUUGAAACACAGCGCUUGAUCUCCUGUGCCUCUGAGUCUGUGGAGCUGCUGAAGGUUUUAAACAGGGUUUUAUUGAGAGAUCUGUGUUAAACGAUGCAUGACUUUGUCUGUUGUAGGAUUUGAACCCAG
Molecule: long non-coding RNA, 821 nt
Organism: Sinocyclocheilus grahami
Lineage: Eukaryota; Metazoa; Chordata; Actinopteri; Cypriniformes; Cyprinidae
Source: Ensembl